AGGCCUAGUGUACUGCGUGAUCGUUGGCCUUGAAAACAGAAACGCGCGCGUAUGUUGCGCACAACUUGUGCGCGCUGCAAGCACCUUCGGCGCACGCGACUUGAGUUGAGGUGGCUUAGCCGCGUGCACUGUUAGUUUGCCUGCACGCGUUGCUCGGGGCGCGUCGCAUCGUUUCUUUUAUCAUCUGUGUUUUACUAGAAUUAUUUUGACUUCGCGCUUAUCGAGAUUUGUGUUUGUGAAAACUUGUAAUUCGCCACGUCUUGGAAGCGGAAUUCGAUCAAUAGUUACAAUCCAACAUCGACGGCAUGUGCUGGCUGCAAACCCCAUGGACAUCAAUUAAUAUUUGCCAUCAUUUCACUGGUAGGUACAAUUGAAUUAAUAUUUUCUUUUGAUUUUUCAUUUCUAAUUAACUUUGAUCUGGCUAUUGAAUACGGCGUAUUUGGUCGUUUUAUAUUCCCCUCGUUCGAGAAUAUUUCAACAUUAUGAAUAUUCGCUAGUACACACAAUAGAAUUGUUGUCGUUUUUGUCUCUGCGCGUUUAUCAAUGUGUGCCCCCGUGCCGUUACAGUAUUCAAGCGUGAAUUUAUUGUUUACAUUAGUUUCUAACUUGAAGGAAAGUUUUCUACAGUCAUUAUUUUUGACGAUUUAUUUCUAUUACGAAUAUCUCGUAAACUAAAAGAGAUAAUUAAGAACGAAUCUCAGCGCCUUAAUCUACGGACUAUUCCUGAUGUCGUAGGACAAUGUUUUUUUCACCAAAUUGUAGGUGUUUAGCGGCCGAACCUGAUGUCGUAGGACAAUGUUUUUUUCACCAAAUUGUGUCUAGCGGCCGAACCUGAUGUCUUAGGAUAACGAUUUUUUCACCAAAUUGU
This is a long non-coding RNA of Dalotia coriaria, 868 nucleotides long. RefSeq lists it as uncharacterized. The transcript is spliced from 3 exons. Lineage: Eukaryota; Metazoa; Arthropoda; Insecta; Coleoptera; Staphylinidae. The record is from RefSeq and is a predicted model, not a curated record.